GGAUUUUCAGAGUGGGCCUUUUUUUGGUGAGUAACACGUGGGUAACCUGCCUUGGAGUCCGGGAUACCCCCUCGAAAGGGGGGCUAAUACUGGAUACGUUCUCCGGGUCGCACGAUCUGGAGAGGAAAGGUGGCGAAAGCUGCCGCUCUUGGAGGGGCCUGCGGCCUAUCAGCUAGUUGGUGAGGUAACGGCUCACCAAGGCUACGACGGGUAGCUGGUCUGAGAGGACGACCAGCCACACGGGGACUGAGACACGGCCCCGACUCCUACGGGAGGCAGCAGUGGGGAAUUUUCCGGGGGGGGCGAAAGCCUGACGGAGUGACGCCGCGUGGGGGACGAAGGCCUUCGGGUCGUAAACCCCUGUCAGAGGGAAAGAAGGUGUCCGGCGUGAAUAGCGUCGGGCAUUGACGGUACCUUCA
RNAcentral lists this ribosomal RNA (419 nucleotides) under uncultured Ammonifex sp. RNAcentral's name for it is "partial 16S ribosomal RNA". It matches the Rfam family "Bacterial small subunit ribosomal RNA", at positions 77 to 483 of the family's 1533-position model. Lineage: Bacteria; Bacillati; Bacillota; Clostridia; Thermoanaerobacterales; Thermoanaerobacteraceae. The record is from RNAcentral.